ACAUGCAGUCGAGCGGACAGAUGGGAGCUUGCUCCCUGAUGUUAGCGGCGGACGGGUGAGUAACACGUGGGUAACCUGCCUGUAAGACUGGGAUAACUCCGGGAAACCGGGGCUAAUACCGGAUGGUUGUCUGAACCGCAUGGUUCAGACAUAAAAGGUGGCUUCGGCUACCACUUACAGAUGGACCCGCGGCGCAUUAGCUAGUUGGUGAGGUAACGGCUCACCAAGGCGACGAUGCGUAGCCGACCUGAGAGGGUGAUCGGCCACACUGGGACUGAGACACGGCCCAGACUCCUACGGGAGGCAGCAGUAGGGAAUCUUCCGCAAUGGACGAAAGUCUGACGGAGCAACGCCGCGUGAGUGAUGAAGG
This 370-nucleotide ribosomal RNA is filed under the name Bacillus sp. (in: firmicutes). RNAcentral describes it as "bacterial SSU rRNA". It matches the Rfam family "Bacterial small subunit ribosomal RNA", at positions 53 to 414 of the family's 1533-position model. Lineage: Bacteria; Bacillati; Bacillota; Bacilli; Caryophanales; Bacillaceae. The record is from RNAcentral.